Aethina tumida (small hive beetle) is the source of this 1339-nucleotide long non-coding RNA. RefSeq lists it as uncharacterized. Lineage: Eukaryota; Metazoa; Arthropoda; Insecta; Coleoptera; Nitidulidae. The transcript has 3 exons. The record is from RefSeq and is a predicted model, not a curated record.
GUCUACACAACAGUAGGUACUCAUUAUUGCAGUGAAGUGAACAGUAUUAAGAAUGAAGUUGGUUGCAUUCGUAUUUGCCCUUUUAUUAGCAGUUGCUAGUGCUGGCUAUUUGAGAUAUGGUGGAAUCGGAGGAGGUUCUGGAGGUGGAUCUGGAGGCGGAUCUGGAGGCGGAGGUAGUGGAGGUGGAUAUGGGGGUCAUGGAAUUAGACUCGUUUCAUAUGGAGGAUAUGGUGGAUUAGGUAAGUUACUCCUUUAGUAUAAUCAUUUCUAAAUAAUAAUGGUUGUUAUUUCAGGUGGUAGUGGUGGAGGCAGCUAUCACCUAGGUUAAAUUCCAUAUGAACCUGUUGCCGAAAAUGAGUAAAUAAAUGCUUAAACAUUAAAUCUUGUUUUUAUUUUAAAAUAAAUAUAACUGUAUCACAAGGGCCAUCAGACAAAAAAAUAUUUUUUAUUUUCGAGGUAUAAGACUAGUUUUCAGUGACAAAAUAGGAAUUUUCUCCAGAAGGACUAUAAUCUAAUAAUAUAAGACUAGUUAACAAAAACAGUUCAAUAUACAAUCUUUACAUUAUCUACAAACUUCAAAUAAAUAAUAUAGAGAGCUAAGUUUUACUAGAAGAAAUCUCAUUGAUGGCACUUAAAUAUUAUAAUAAUUAUUAUUGUAACAUUAAUUAUAAAUUUUUAGUUUUAAAUUAAUUUAUAUACUUCUGAAUAUUAAGCACAGAGUUGAAGUUUAGUUUCAGUGUCACUUUUUAAAAUGGUUUUUCAUUGUUAUCUGCCAACUCUCAUACAAAUUAAAUUUUAAAUAUUUAAAUUUAAAUAGCACACUUUAGUAAUUUUUACCAAAGCUGUUUAGAACUGGCUUAUUUAUAACAUCUCCAUCAGGUGUCACUAUUGGUCCAGUUACGGAAAACGCCGAUAUGCUGCUGUGAAUUGUGCCCUUACGUCCUGGAAAUUGGUUGAGAACAAAAUGAAUUUUUCUAUUAUCCACGGGUUCCUCCGAUAUUGAAGAUCUUGUAACGGAGUGUGCUGGUUUAGAGUCGUGGAUACUUCCAGUUGGUCCAGGAAAUUGAGCAUUACAACAACCAAGUUGUGCACCCCAUCUUUCUCCAUGAGAACCUAUCAAAUUAUAAAAUAUCAUAGUUGUAAUUUUGUUCAAAUAAUAUUAAAUUUACUAUAAAAUAUUUUUAGAUACUUACUUUAGUUUUUACUAAAUUAUAUUCUUAAUACUCUAGUAGUAAAAUAAAGUUUAUAGUAAAAUUGGAGGAGAUAUUGGAUAGCUGAAUGGAGAACUCGAAAUAUAGUACUGGUAGAUAUGGAGGUGUUAUCUAAGUUUUCUAAUACU